UCCCACUGACCUUUAUAUGUUUGCAUAUUUCAGCUCACAGUAGAAUAAAUACAGGUAAGUAUUUGGUGUCUACGUCUUUGUCUCAAGUUUCUUCAAAACUCAGACAAAGAGGGGCAAGCUGUAGACACUAAAAUUUUAUUUAUUUGAUUUUUGGCUUUAUUUCUUAUUUAAUUCAAUUUUUUGCUUCAUUUGUUAGCUUUAUUAUUCUCAUUUUAUUUUAUUUUAUUGAUUAAAUCAUAGAUAGGGUUUUUAACUAUUUUUAUAAAUUAGGUUCAUUAGUUUCAUUUUUAUUUCUAAGAUAUUUUGCAUUAAAUUUCCAAAAAAGGAACAUUUU
Molecule: long non-coding RNA, 334 nt
Filed under: Coffea arabica (coffee)
Lineage: Eukaryota; Viridiplantae; Streptophyta; Magnoliopsida; Gentianales; Rubiaceae
Description: long non-coding RNA (CARA_LNC002582)
Source: RNAcentral